GGGCCCGCACAAGCGGUGGAGCAUGUGGUUUAAUUCGAUGAUACGCGAGGAACCUUACCAGGGCUUAAAUGUAAGUUGCAUUAGUUAGAGAUAGCUAUUUCUUCGGACUACUUACAAGGUGCUGCAUGGUUGUCGUCAGCUCGUGCCGUGAGGUGUCAGGUUAAGUCCUAUAACGAGCGCAACCCCUGUUGUUAGUUGCCAUCGAGUCAUGUCGGGAACUCUAACAAGACUGCCGGUGCAAACCGUGAGGAAGGUGGGGAUGACGUCAAAUCAUCACGGCCCUUACGUCCUGGGCUACACACGUGCUACAAUGGCCGGUACAGAGAGCAGCCACUACGCGAGUAGGCGCGAAUCUUCAAAGCCGGUCUCAGUUCGGAUCGGAGUCUGCAACUCGACAACAUGAAGUCGGAAUC
Molecule: ribosomal RNA, 413 nt
Filed under: uncultured bacterium
Lineage: Bacteria
Description: bacterial SSU rRNA
Rfam family: Bacterial small subunit ribosomal RNA
Source: RNAcentral